Molecule: non-coding RNA, 117 nt
Filed under: Gorilla gorilla gorilla (western lowland gorilla)
Lineage: Eukaryota; Metazoa; Chordata; Mammalia; Primates; Hominidae
Source: Rfam by way of RNAcentral
GCCAGGCAUGGUGGCUCAUGCCUGUAAUCCCAGCACUUUGGGAGGCUGAGGUGGGUGGAUCACCUGAGGUCAGGAGUUUGAGACCAGCCUGACCAACAUGGUGAAACCCCAUCUCUA